CUUGCAAACAAUGCCAGUCUCCGAUUUCACCUACCGACACUUCUACUCUCUCUACUAUGCUCUGAAGAAGAAGGAAGAGCUGCAAUGUCUGCAAUAUUCCGAUGGAGAACAAAGCUGAGGCACAUAACUCCUACAAUCACUUGUCUCUCUUCAUCAUCACCAACCUCAUCUUCAUCCUCUCACUAUCACUCCUCUCUCAACCCAACACCACUCCUCUCUCUCCAUCGCCACCGCCAACGCCAACCUCCUCUAGGGUUAGGGUUAGGGUUUCAGGAGCGACACAAAUGGGACGGAAGCUCCGACGAUUUCGACCAAAUUCGCGCUCAAGUCAACUGCCCUCGCUGUUCCAAGCUCAUGGCCAUCCUUUUCUCGACCCGUCCCUUGUCGAUCACUGGAGGCGAGACCGGUGUGUUUCAAGCCCUCAAUCUCUGCCCUAAUUGCAGGACUGCGUUCUAUUUCAGGCCCUUCAAGUUGGUUCCAUUGCAGGGAAGUUUCAUUGAGAUUGGGAGAGUUAAAGGGAGGGAUGAGGAGGGGAGUGUUGGAAAAGAUGAUGACGAAAAUGGGAGAGCUGGGGCUAGGAUUUGGGAAAGGCUGAGAUCCUAUGGCGGAGACGGGGCGGGGAGUAUGAGCGGGGUCGAAGUGAAAAUGCCGGUGGGGCAAACGGUUGAGGUAAAAACAGGGGGUAGUGGGGAGGGGGAUGGGUGCGGCGGGGCGAAUUUGGGAAAGGAGUUGCCGACACCGAAGGAGAUAUGUAGGCGGCUUGAUGAGUUUGUUAUUGGGCAAGAAAAAGCCAAAAAGGUGCUCUCUGUGGCUGUCUACAAUCACUACAAAAGGAUAUACCAUGCUUCCUCAUGUAAAGAUGCCAGGUCAGGUGUAGUGUCAGAUAAAGGUGAAGUUGAAGAUGAUAGCAAUUCUGUUGAACUAGAGAAGAGCAAUGUGUUACUCAUGGGUCCAACUGGCUCAGGGAAGACAUUACUUGCGAAAACAUUAGCUCGCGUUGUGAAUGUGCCUUUUGUCAUUGCAGAUGCAACAACGUUAACUCAGGCUGGUUACGUUGGAGAAGAUGUAGAAUCAAUAUUGUACAAAUUACUUGUGGUUGCUGAGUUCAAUGUGGAAGCAGCUCAACAAGGGAUUGUGUACAUUGAUGAAGUUGAUAAGAUAACUAAGAAGGCUGAGAGCUUAAACAUAGGCAGAGAUGUAUCUGGAGAGGGUGUUCAACAGGCAUUGCUGAAAAUGCUGGAAGGAACUAUUGUGAACGUUCCUGACAACAGAGCUCGAAAACAUCCUCGUGGUGAUAGCAUUCAGAUGGAUACCAAGGACAUACUUUUUAUUUGUGGUGGAGCCUUUGUUGAUUUGGAAAAGACCAUUUCAGAAAGACGACAAGAUUCUUCCAUUGGUUUUGGAGCACCAGUUCGGGCAAAUAUGAGACUCAGUGGACUAACUAAUUCUGUAGUUACAUCAUCAUUAUUAGAAUCCGUGGAAAGUGGUGAUCUUAUUGCAUACGGCCUUAUACCAGAAUUUAUUGGACGCUUUCCUAUUUUAGUGAGUUUAUCUGCUCUAAAUGAAGAUCAACUUGUUCAGGUCCUCUCAGAGCCCAAAAAUGCUCUUGGGAAACAGUACAAGAAAAUGUUCAGCAUGAACAAUGUCAAUUUACAUUUUACGGAUAAUGCUCUUAGGUUGAUCGCAAAGAAAGCAAUGGCAAAGAAUACUGGUGCCCGGGGCUUGAGAGCAAUAUUAGAAAAUAUUCUUACAGAAGCCAUGUUUGAGGUUCCAGAUGCCAAGUCAGGAAAUGACAGUAUAGAUGCAGUUGUGGUUGAUGAAGAGGCUGUAGGAUCAGUAGACACUCCGGGAUGCGGAGCAAAAAUUCUCCGCAGAGAUGGUUCAGUGGAGCCAUUUCUUCAUCAAACAAAAUCAACUAAUCCCAUGGUAUAUUUGUGUCUGUGAAGUGAACUACCUGGACUUGGACCUACGUGGAAUUAUAUUCACAGCAGUUCUAUUUCCUUUUUUCUUUUCCCUCUACUCUCCUCUUCUUAUUCUUUGGGGCUAAAAGGAGUGAGGAUGCUGAAGGAGCACUGGAGAGAGAAUUAGAGGUCUCAUCAACAGCCAUGAGCUUAUGACUUCAUGUUUUAUCAUAUAUGUGUAAUAAUCCCCAUUUAUGUUUACUACAAGCGUGACAUGUGAUCAUUGGGGAUCCUUUUCUCCUUUUAUUUUUAUUUUUUUGGCUUUAUCCUCUCUUCUUUUUUCUUUUUUCAUUUCAAAAAAAAUUAUCAUUGUAUAUAAUUGUAAUUUUCAAUUUUCAAUUAUAUUAAGCUGAUUUUGUCAUGUGAGAA
Molecule: non-coding RNA, 2330 nt
Organism: Camellia sinensis
Lineage: Eukaryota; Viridiplantae; Streptophyta; Magnoliopsida; Ericales; Theaceae
Source: RefSeq, a predicted model, not a curated record